This 448-nucleotide RNase P RNA is filed under the name Candidatus Uhrbacteria bacterium. RNAcentral's name for it is "partial RNase P RNA component class A". It matches the Rfam family "Bacterial RNase P class A", at positions 63 to 367 of the family's 367-position model. Rfam says of the family: Ribonuclease P (RNase P) is a ubiquitous endoribonuclease, found in archaea, bacteria and eukarya as well as chloroplasts and mitochondria. Its best characterised activity is the generation of mature 5'-ends of tRNAs by cleaving the 5'-leader elements of precursor-tRNAs. Lineage: Bacteria; Candidatus Uhriibacteriota. The record is from RNAcentral.
AGAAAGCGAGAGCGGCUAACGACCGCCAGGAUAUAGUGAAAAACGAAAGGUCACGUGCCCAACGUUUUUCAUAAACCUAGGGAAAGUGCCACAGAGACAAUACUAAUUUGCGGAGCAAAUUAUCCUGAGCGAGGCCGCAAGGCCAAGUCGAAGGAUCUCCGUGAGUGAAAGGUGAAAAGUGUGCGGGUGUUGUUUGACGAAAGUCAAACCGCUACCGCACUCCCCCGUUGGUAACAACGGGGCGUGACCCGUAAAAUCUCUUCGAGAUCACGGGCCCGUGGUAAACCCUCUCCGGUGCAAGAGCAAGGUUCCCCUUCGCAUAAAGCUUCGGGGGACAGGUCGCUCGCUUGAGGUUCGCUGCGAAGCAGAUCCCAGAGAGAUGGUCAUCAGACUCCGCGCCGUCAGGUAGCGGGGCGAACAAAACUCGGCUUACCGUCUCGCCCGAAUC